Papaver somniferum (opium poppy) is the source of this 966-nucleotide long non-coding RNA. RefSeq lists it as uncharacterized. Lineage: Eukaryota; Viridiplantae; Streptophyta; Magnoliopsida; Ranunculales; Papaveraceae. The transcript is spliced from 2 exons. The record is from RefSeq and is a predicted model, not a curated record.
CUCUCUUUCACUUCCUUCUCUCUCUCUUAAAACAAGUUGAACCCUUCGUUCAUGCGCCUCCCUCUCCCAAUCUUUUCAUCUUCUUCAUCGUCUUUACUGUCUUAGUAGAUCUCCUGUUAAAUGAUAAAAGUUGUUAAUUGAUGUUCAUAUAUUUGGAUUUAAUGAUAAUUUUUUUUAUUUGUUAUUUGUCUUACUUCUUACUAAAACGGAAAUGAAAGAUUCAGAUCUUGAAUGUUGGUUUAAUUUAUCCAUUAAAAGUUUGAGUUUUGUUUGAUGGUUGUAUUAAUAAUGGUAUUCAAGUACCAGAGUUCCGUUUCUUCUUCCUCUGUAUUAAUCUGCUUAUCUAUGCUUUGAUCUCUCUUCAUAAUUAUUUUUUCUUUAAGAUUUGUCUGUAAUUAGGAAUUGGGCCAUAAAUUACUUGAAAUCUAUAUGAACAUGGUUGUGUUGGGAUUUUUUGAUUUUCUCAAUGGGUUUAAUUUUUUUUUUUUCGUUUUUUGAAUGAACAAAUUACCAGGUAAGGUUUGCUCCAAUCAGCUAGCUUAAGUUGAAAAUGGUACAAGAUAUCAUAUUUUAAUGGACCAAAGUUCAUCAUUUAUUUUUGAAGGAACUAGAUCUGGAAUGAGUAUUCAUCUCAAAAUCAGAGCUAGAAAUACAGAUCAGGAUGAUAUUAGGCUUCAGCAGUAUGAAUCUUGUUUCUAAGCUUCUCCAGUGAUUUCAAAGGACGGUGAUGGGUGGUGCUUCAGCUUUGUCCACGAGUUUUGAUGGGAUUGUAAUUUUUGUUAUAAUUUUAAGAAAUUGAAUUUUAUUUCUGUAAUUUUGUUUUGAUGGAGAUUGUAUUUUAUAUUAUUCCCUUAAAAAAUAAAAAGUAAAAUUGUAAUUUAUUUAUUUAUUUUCCUUGUAAAAAAAUGAUUAUGUAAAUUGAAUUUUAUUAGAUAAUAAAGUUGACUACUUGAUUUACUAUUUUUA